CAGAAAUGUUCCAGCACCCAUGAUGAUGAGCUGUAGCAUGCCCUGUAGCAUGCCGAUGCCCAUCUCAUAUGAUGCACCGAUGAUCCAAGGACCCCUAGUGCACAGAAAUGUUCCAGCACCCAUAUUGUUGGAGUAUUUCCUCGAUGCACUGCCCUUGAGAAGCUGCAUCCAAUUUCCGGCAUCAAGCGAGACCUUUGUGGUUGAAGGUGCUGCCGCAUGUUCAGAAAUGCAAUUCGCCC
This is a long non-coding RNA of Monopterus albus (swamp eel), 239 nucleotides long. RefSeq lists it as uncharacterized. The record is from RefSeq and is a predicted model, not a curated record. The transcript has 7 exons. NCBI's taxonomy places the organism in Eukaryota, Metazoa, Chordata, Actinopteri, Synbranchiformes, Synbranchidae.